RNAcentral lists this small RNA (865 nucleotides) under Histoplasma capsulatum. Its description in RNAcentral is "hypothetical RNA". The record is from RNAcentral. Lineage: Eukaryota; Fungi; Ascomycota; Eurotiomycetes; Onygenales; Ajellomycetaceae. RNAcentral also lists the same sequence under 1 other name.
CUGGCUAUGUUUUAAAUAGAGGUUGUAAUUAUCCUCGUUUCCCCUGCUAUCCCACUCACGCAGCUGGUCGACUCGCGUCGGCUUGGAAGGAUAACAUUUUGGCAAAUUGGCGUCCCUCCGCGCCGCUGGAACGCUUCUGACGAAUGCAGUUCGCAGAAAUUCCUCGUUCCCCGUUCCAGCGCCUUAUUCAUGCCCCCUCCUGACAUCCACUUGCAACCAUAAUACCCGCCAUUUCACCAACCGGGCCCCGCGCAAAACCCCCAACCAGCUCCCAUACAGAACCUCCGAUUUCCCCAAAGAAAUAGACCUCGAACACCCCAUUUUCCUCGCCCCAAAACUCGAUCCCAAGAAACUAGGCGGCGUCCAUCGGGAUAGAUACCUCUUCCGCGACCCCGACAACAUCUCCCUGUACCCCGGCGAGCAGUCCUUCGAUCCCACAACCGCCGCCCACCAUCCAAUGAAGUUCUUCUUCGAGUUCAUCACCACACCUACGGCAGACACGCCAGGCACUACCCUUAUCGUCCACUUCGAUGACAAGCGCUACCUAUUCGGCCAUAUACCCGAGGGCCUACAGCGGGCCUGCGGCCAUCGUAAUAUCAAGUUCACCCAUGUCACGGACAUUUUCAUGUCCGGCAAGACGUCGUGGGCGAACAAUGGCGGCCUGCUCGGGAUCAUCCUAACGCUUGCCGAGUCGGCGAAUACCUCUGCCUGGUCGCAGAAGGAGGUGUAUCGGACGAAAGCAGAGCGGUUGGCAAAGCUAGCGGCCGAGACGGCGGAUCCGGUGCAGGCAGAGUCAUACCGGCGGCGGCUGGAGCAUUUCCAGGAGCGGAGCAACAAGCUUGCCGUGGAGUUUGAGCGGCGGGGG